Non-coding RNA from Candidatus Burkholderia pumila, 105 nucleotides. NCBI's taxonomy places the organism in Bacteria, Pseudomonadati, Pseudomonadota, Betaproteobacteria, Burkholderiales, Burkholderiaceae. The record is from Rfam.
GCCUCAUGCCUGAAAGGGUGACGGCAUCGAGCCGCAGCGAGAAGUCAGCAGAGGUCGGAGUAGUUACAGGACAGGCUGAUGAAGCCGAAGCGGGUGGCGAAGGAC